Molecule: ribosomal RNA, 467 nt
Filed under: uncultured bacterium
Lineage: Bacteria
Description: partial 16S ribosomal RNA
Rfam family: Bacterial small subunit ribosomal RNA
Source: RNAcentral
GACGAACGCUGGCGGCGUGCUUAACACAUGCAAGUCGAACGAUGAAGCGCAUCUUGCUGGUUGGAUUAGUGGCGAACGUGUGAGUAACACGUGAGCACCGUGCCCGCGACUCUGGCAUCACUACCGGACACGUUGUCUUAUACUGGAUAUGUGUCACGGAGGCAUUUUUUUUGAUUGCACCGAUUCUUAGGUUUCGGAUCGCCUCUCGGUCUCUCAUUUUGUUAGUGGGGUACUGCCCUACCAAGGCGACGUCGGUUAGGCGGCCUGAGAGGGUGACCGGCCACACUGGGACUGAGAGACGGACCAGACACAUACGGGAGGCAGCAGUGAGGAAUAAUGCACGAUGAGCGCGAGAAUGAUGCAGGAACGAAGCGUGAGGGAUGACGGACGUCGGGUGGUAAACAAAUUUUAGUAGGGAAGAAGCGAAAGUGACGGUACCUGCAGAAAAAGCACCGGCUAACUACGUG